Molecule: ribosomal RNA, 274 nt
Filed under: uncultured bacterium
Lineage: Bacteria
Description: partial 16S ribosomal RNA
Rfam family: Bacterial small subunit ribosomal RNA
Source: RNAcentral
AUACGGAGGGUGCAAGCGUUAUCCGGAAUCAUUGGGCGUAAAGCGCGCGCAGGCGGUCUUUUAAGUUGGAUGUGAAAGCCUACGGCUCAACCGUAGAACUGCAUCCAAAACUAUUAGACUAGAGUGUGGGAGAGGAAGAUGGAAUUAGUUGUGUAGGGGUAAAAUCCGUAGAGAUAACUAGGAAUACCAAAAGCGAAGGCAAUCUUCUGGAACACUACUGACGCUGAGGCGCGAAAGCGUGGGGAGCAAACAGGAUUAGAUACCCUAGUAGUCC